UACGGGGGGGGCAAGCGUUGUUCGGAAUUACUGGGCGUAAAGGGCGCGUAGGCGGCCUGCUAAGUCGGAUGUGAAAUCCCUCGGCUCAACCGAGGAACUGCAUCCGAUACUGGCGGGCUUGAAUCCGGGAGAGGGAUGUGGAAUUCCAGGUGUAGCGGUGAAAUGCGUAGAUAUCAGGAGGAACACCUGCGGUGUAGACGGCUUACUGGACCAUAACUGACGCUGAGGCACGAAAGCGUGGGUAGCAAACAGG
This 253-nucleotide ribosomal RNA is filed under the name uncultured bacterium. RNAcentral describes it as "partial 16S ribosomal RNA". It matches the Rfam family "Bacterial small subunit ribosomal RNA", at positions 524 to 776 of the family's 1533-position model. The record is from RNAcentral.